GCUAGCAGCUGGAUUUAUUUAAAAUUAGUUGUUAUUUUGUUCAUCAAGACCUGGGAAGUUCAUUUCAUCAACUGUAUGGGCACUAUUGUACCCUGUAUUUUGCGCACUUGACUACAGUUCUUUCUACCGUGACUCAUAAACCAUUUCGAUUAUACUCUAACUUAGCCGAGUUACUAAUUUCUCUUUCCUUUUUUCCCAUUCACUUUGAGGACAAGUUAUGUCAAUCCUUCUGCUUCUUCUUAAACUAUCCACAAGUUUCAUCAACUUCUUUUACAUACCAACUAUUUAGGUGAACUUUAUUAAAAUGCAAGAAUUCUUGCGUAUUUGGCGCCAUAUUCAGACGCUGAUGCGGUGGAACUAACUUCUCUGCACACUGGUUCAUGAUCUGGAAGUAUUUGCCCAUACACCGUUUUAACGUCAUUUCCAAUCUAAGAGCCCGAAAUUAAUAGCCUUGUUAUUAUUCUCUCUAACAUUUGGCUCGAGAGCCUGAUCUCCGUACUCGGCGUCUUGUUGAUCUCUACCACCAACAACAAAGCUGCAACAAAGCUGCCUUACUCAUAGCGACAAUGAACAAUCUUAGGGUUUUCUUCUUCGCUCUCCUCCUGCUCGCUUCUCCUCUCCUUGAAGUGACUAGGUGUCAGUCAGAUUCUGAAGAGGAAGUCACAGAGGCUGCUGAAGAAGUCAGUGACCUUGGGAUUGUUGGCGAGGAUGCCCAAUAUUUUGGUGAUGGGAGUUUUAGCCCUGCUCCUGGAGUUGAUACAGUCUGUGUUUUCCCCAAAAACAGUGCACGGUUGGUGCCAGCUGGUGAAGAUGCUGAACUACUUGUUGGACUCAAGAAUGACGGGGAGUCAAGCAUAAAUGUCAUUGCUAUUAAGGCUAGUGUUCAUCUUCCUUUUGAUCAUCGUCUGCUGGUUCAAAAUCUCACUGCUCAGGCCUUCAGCAAUGCAACUGUUCCUGCCUCAACACAGGCAUCUUUCCCGUACAUCUUUGCUGUCAGCAAGUACUUGCAGCCUGGAAGCUUUGAUAUCGUGGGCACCAUAUACUAUGAGAUUGAUCAGCAUCCAUACCAGAGCACCUUCUACAAUGGUACCAUUGAAGUUGUCGAGUCUGGUGGCUUCCUCAGCAUUGAGUCAGUUUUUCUGGUUACGCUUGGAAUUGCACUUCUUGUGCUUCUUGGUCUUUGGAUUCAUGGUCAAAUACAGAACCUUUCUAAGAAAACAAAGAGGGCUCCAAAGGUGGAAGUUGGAACUGGUACUAGGGAUGCCUCAAUGGAUGAAUGGCUUCAGGGAACUGCAUACACUCAGUCAUUAUCCAGCAAAUCAAAGAAAAAGAAGUAGAUAUGUUGGUGGCCUACUUAGCUGCACAAAGGGCACUGCACAGACUUGUAACUCCCGCUUAGGCAAUUGGAGGUUCUAAGAGAGCUCAUAAGUUUGAUCUAGUUACUGAAAUUUAGUCCAGGGAAUGUUUGGCUGUUGUAGCAUGUGAAUGAAAAUUUUCUUACAUUUUAAAUUUUUUUUAAACGAGAAUUUUGGAAGUUGAGCCUUGUUGAGGAUGACUAACUCCCAUUUGAGGUAGGAAGGAGGAUAUGAUUUUCUUGAACCCAGAUUAAUUUUUUAUUUCACAUGCUGGCUUUUCUAUUUUAUUUUUUUGUUAUGUUUUCCAUGGUUUGCUACAACGUAGGAACAGGAUCAAUUGAGCGGUGCUGGGGUGCUGGCUAGGCCAACUAUAAUUUUGGUCCUAGGCCUAUGAAACUGAACAUUAAAUGGUUUUAUUUCUUUUUAUUUUUAUAAUGUCUUAUAUUUUGAGAGGGUCAAUUAAGAUGGUUUGGAUAGAAUCAAAUAUCUCAGUAUAGAUAAAUUAAUAGGGAAAGUAGUGAAGAAUCAAAU
RNAcentral lists this unclassified non-coding RNA (1886 nucleotides) under Hevea brasiliensis (rubber tree). The record is from RNAcentral. Lineage: Eukaryota; Viridiplantae; Streptophyta; Magnoliopsida; Malpighiales; Euphorbiaceae.